Trichonephila inaurata madagascariensis is the source of this 75-nucleotide non-coding RNA. NCBI's taxonomy places the organism in Eukaryota, Metazoa, Arthropoda, Arachnida, Araneae, Nephilidae. The record is from the annotation of a GenBank genome assembly.
GUCUCUGUAGCGUAAUGGAUAUAGCGCGUUGGGCUUCUAAUCCAAAGGUUGUAAUCUCGAGUCCUACCUGGGAUG